CAGAGUGGUUCGAAAAGUCUCUUCUUCUCCUCGUCGCAUCCGAUUUUCGGACUUUAAGCACCGAUUCCAACCGCUGUCACUGGACCAUCGAAAUCCUCAGACUGGCACGGGGAGAAUGAGGGAAAGAGGAGCUACCCCAUAAUGUUUUUCGAAAAUUGUCGCCAACAUGCGACGACCACGCACGCUCCACACAUGACGUACGACAGAUUUGUGCCUCGCUUAACGAAAACACUUGUGCCAGUCUUGCUGAGAUGACCACGGCUGGAAGAUAAUCCUGGAAAACUUUAUUCCGAUGGUAAUCCUAAUGAUUAUGCAUAAUUAAUCAGAUAAUAUGCAAAUUUCUCUGUAAUCAAACUCGAGAUUACUACGUUCGUUGUUUCCGUCGUGAGUAGGUAGGAAACGGAGGAAAUGAAAACGGAAUAUGACUAUUAAUUGUGUGCAACGUUGUGCACUUGAAAAACAUAUAUCAUUGUACGCGCUUCGAGCAAUACAUGAUU
Molecule: long non-coding RNA, 497 nt
Organism: Nylanderia fulva
Lineage: Eukaryota; Metazoa; Arthropoda; Insecta; Hymenoptera; Formicidae
Source: RefSeq, a predicted model, not a curated record